GAUGAAGAACGUAGCGAAAUGCGAUAAGUAAUGUGAAUUGCAGAAUUCAGUGAAUCAUCGAAUCUUUGAACGCACAUUGCGCCCGCUAGUAUUCUGGCGGGCAUGCCUGUCCGAGCGUCAUUUCAACCCUCAAGCCCCCGGGCUUGGUGUUGGGGAUCGGCGAGCCUCCGCGCCCGCCGUCCCCUAAAUCUAGUGGCGGUCUCGCUGUAGCUUCCUCUGCGUAGUAGCACACCUCGCACUGGGAANNNNCGCGGCCACGCCGUUAAACCCCCAACUUCUGAACGUUUGACCUCGGAUCAGGUAGGAAUACCCGCUGAACUUAAGCAUAUCAAUAAGCGGAGGA
This 343-nucleotide unclassified non-coding RNA is filed under the name soil metagenome. RNAcentral's name for it is "partial contains 5.8S ribosomal RNA, internal transcribed spacer 2, and large subunit ribosomal RNA". The stretch from base 1 to 120 matches the Rfam family "5.8S ribosomal RNA", at positions 35 to 154 of the family's 154-position model. The record is from RNAcentral.